This 96-nucleotide small nuclear RNA is filed under the name Suricata suricatta (meerkat). The record is from RNAcentral. Lineage: Eukaryota; Metazoa; Chordata; Mammalia; Carnivora; Herpestidae.
GUGCUCGCUUCGGCAGCACAUAUACUAAAAUUGGAACGAUACAGAGAAGAUUAGCGUGGCCCCUGCGCGAGGACGACAGAGCCUUUUCAUCUUCCC